GGUCGGGAAGGUAGUUGCGGCGGAUUUACUCUAGGACGAAAGUCCGUCCAACUCCUUUCCGUCU
This 64-nucleotide microRNA precursor is filed under the name Polistes canadensis. RNAcentral describes it as "microRNA pca-mir-3049 precursor". Lineage: Eukaryota; Metazoa; Arthropoda; Insecta; Hymenoptera; Vespidae. The record is from miRBase by way of RNAcentral.